AGUUAAUAAGCUUAAAGCAUUUGUUUUGAAAACAAAAGAUAGAAUUCACUAUUCUAUUAACUU
Molecule: transfer RNA, 63 nt
Filed under: Teleogryllus emma (emma field cricket)
Lineage: Eukaryota; Metazoa; Arthropoda; Insecta; Orthoptera; Gryllidae
Also listed under: 1 other name
Description: tRNA-Ser
Rfam family: tRNA
About the family: Transfer RNA (tRNA) molecules are approximately 80 nucleotides in length. Their secondary structure includes four short double-helical elements and three loops (D, anti-codon, and T loops).
Source: RNAcentral